UCGCCACCCACCGUCCUCACCCUAGUCUUAUCCCCAUCGUACAUGUCCUUGAUAACUCUGAUGGAGGUGGAUUACUUUGAAUACAAGAUUUGUUAUUAUCAGAAUCCUUUGGAUCAUUUGUAUUUGAUGAAUCAACUGAAUUCUCUUUGCUUUUUCCCCUUCAUUUGGGAGUGGUAAAUUUUCUGACUGAUUAGGUUUCCACACGGCUGCAGUAACAGAUUGUAAGAACCCAAUUUGUUAGCCAAUUUGGGUCCUACACAAUUAUUCCCCAUCCAAAAUAAAAAAUAUCAAAACAAAUCCUACUAGCUAGAAUCAAAAUCUCAACUUUUCCCAAAUUCCAAUACCAUCUAAACAUGCCAUUGCUGAUUCAUCAACAUUCAUGAUUCAACAGAACCCUUAAUGAAGCCCUAAUUUUUUUAAUCCCAAAAAUUAAAUACUCCACUAAAAUCAAAAUCAACCCAACUACUCAUAUAUUAAAUCACUAUGCACAAAAGGCGUACCAAAAAUCUGAAUUUACUGUUGAAAUUCAAGAAUUAAAUAACAUAUGAUGUCUCAAAUAUCGAAGCGGGCAAAAGAAAACGAAAAUCUUAGGGAUUUGGAAGAAAUUGAGGAGAAAUUAAAUGAGGGGAAAUUGUUGGAAACGGUGAGGAAAUAGAAAGAUGAAGUGGAUCGGUUGGGUAGUUUUGGCGAUUGGAA
RNAcentral lists this long non-coding RNA (696 nucleotides) under Nicotiana benthamiana. RNAcentral describes it as "long non-coding RNA (NBEN_LNC002615)". Lineage: Eukaryota; Viridiplantae; Streptophyta; Magnoliopsida; Solanales; Solanaceae. The record is from RNAcentral.